UGGGGAAUCUUAGACAAUGGGCGCAAGCCUGAUCUAGCCAUGCCGCGUGAUCGAUGACGGCCUUAGGGUUGUAAAGAUCUUUCGACGGGGACGAUAAUGACGGUACCCGUAGAAGAAGCUCCGGCUAACUUCGUGCCAGCAGCCGCGGUAAUACGAAGGGAGCUAGCGUUGUUCGGAAUUACUGGGCGUAAAGCGCGCGUAGGCGGACUGGAAAGUUGGGGGUGAAAUCCCGGGGCUCAACCCCGGAACUGCCUUCAAAACUCCUGGUCUUGAGAUCGAGAGAGGUGAGUGGAAUUCCGAGUGUAGAGGUGAAAUUCGUAGAUAUUCGGAGGAACACCAGUGGCGAAGGCGGCUCACUGGCUCGAUACUGACGCUGAGGUGCGAAAGCGUGGGGAGCAAACAGGAUUAGAUACCCCCGUAGUCC
Molecule: ribosomal RNA, 424 nt
Filed under: uncultured prokaryote
Description: bacterial SSU rRNA
Rfam family: Bacterial small subunit ribosomal RNA
Source: RNAcentral